UACGUAGGGUGCGAGCGUUAAUCGGAAUUACUGGGCGUAAAGUGUGCGCAGGCGGCCGAGCAAGUCGAGUGUGAAAGCCCCGGGCUUAACUUGGGAAUUGCGCUCGAAACUACUUGGCUGGAGUGUGGCAGAGGAAGGUGGAAUUCCAGGUGUAGCGGUGAAAUGCGUAGAGAUCUGGAGGAACACCGAUGGCGAAGGCAGCCUUCUGGGCCAACACUGACGCUCAUGCACGAAAGCGGGGGAGCAAACAGG
RNAcentral lists this ribosomal RNA (252 nucleotides) under uncultured bacterium. Its description in RNAcentral is "partial 16S ribosomal RNA". It matches the Rfam family "Bacterial small subunit ribosomal RNA", at positions 524 to 776 of the family's 1533-position model. The record is from RNAcentral.